This is a non-coding RNA of Equus caballus (horse), 1119 nucleotides long. The record is from RefSeq and is a predicted model, not a curated record. NCBI's taxonomy places the organism in Eukaryota, Metazoa, Chordata, Mammalia, Perissodactyla, Equidae.
UCCAGUGGUUGUGACGCAGACCGAACGCCCUGCAAACCCCCACGUGUUUAUUAUCUGGCUCUUAAAAAAAUGUGUUGGCUCCUGGCGUGAUGACAAGAUCACCUGUGUAAGAACUACAUGAACUCAGAGCAGAUUUCUUUUAGUCCAUCUUAUUAAGUUUUUGUUUUUUCCAGUUCAUAAGACACCCAGUGCGAUGGGUUAUACAUCCACCCUGCUUCCCUGCGAUCCUGUGCCUCAAGGACAGCUGACCACAUUCUCAGUUGAGGAAGAUCGUAAGCUCCAUGAAGACAAGACUAAAUGCCUAUCAGGUCCACAGAAGUAUUCCUAGCAUUUGGCACAGGGCCCAGCGCAACGGCAUAAUAGAUAUUUGUUGAGAGGAUGUACAUGGCCUUACAGUCACACCGUCAGUACAGCGUAUGACCUGAGUUGAUCCAACAGCACGGAUGGAGUUACCGUGAUUCAGCAAGACUUUCUCAACUGCACUCGGAACCAAUACGAUGCUCCUGGGAGGUGACCAGCUGUGGUGCAGGCCAUAGCCUGUGACUCUAGGAAGGAAGCAUCGAGUUUCAGCCCAUGGGGGAAUUGAACCCCUGACCUUGGCCUCAUUAGCACCAUGUUCUAGCCAACUGCGCUAAUUGGUCACACACGGCAAAAAAUUUGGAGACAUGGAAAAGAUGUCAGAGCAUAGGAUUCUUGAUUUUAAUGUUUGUUUUGAUCUGAUGGAAAGAACCUUAGACUUUGGAGUCAGAUUGAGCUUGGUUUGAGUCUUAGCUCCCUGUCUCAAUGUCUGGGUUACCUUGGUUUGCUCUCUGAACAAUGGGAAUAAUCAUGCCAACCUGGAAACAAAAUUUUAGAUGUUAGUGGAAGUAAACUAAUUUACAUGGGAAUACCUGGCAUAGAGUGAAGCACGCAGUCAAUACAUAUUCUUCUAUGGAUUGGUUUCAAUCAUUAUAGGAUGGACUGAUGAUGUAGAUAACCACAGCGCUUUUCCCCCAGCUGGAUCUUUCCCCUCUUUCUCCACCCUCUGUCAUCUUCAGUGACACAACUAACAUGUUUAGGGCACCAUUCAGUUACAAAGUGAAAUAUUAAUGUGAUAAUAAUAAAUGCUUGAAAGAGCAG